This 372-nucleotide unclassified non-coding RNA is filed under the name Commiphora pervilleana. RNAcentral's name for it is "partial external transcribed spacer". RNAcentral also lists the same sequence under 1 other name. Lineage: Eukaryota; Viridiplantae; Streptophyta; Magnoliopsida; Sapindales; Burseraceae. The record is from RNAcentral.
UUCGGUAUCCUGUGUUGCUUACCUAUCGAAAGGAAUCCGACGGUCUCGCUUGUCCCCCUCCGCCCCCAGCCCUCGCGGGUUGUGGGGCGGACACGAGGCACGCCCCGUGCUCCCGGCAAGCCUCGCCAAGUCGCUUGGCUGCUUCGGCCCACGGUGUGCUCUGCCCGUUCUCUCGGAUGCAGAACGUUACGCGCGGGCGUGGGGUCUUCCGGCUCUGUUUGCCCAAGCAACAACGCAUCUGUCCCUCGACGCGAACGACUGCCGUGCCCGUCUUGAGCCCGCGGCCUCACGGCCCGUCGGGCGUCAUGCGGGCGUCGGCGUCGCGAAGGAACGCUACCUGGUUGAUCCUGCCAGUAGUCAUAUGCUUGUCUC